UUUGACCUCAAAUCAGGUAGGACUACCCGCUGAACUUAAGCAUAUCAAUAAGCCGGAGGAAG
Molecule: ribosomal RNA, 62 nt
Filed under: Candida albicans
Lineage: Eukaryota; Fungi; Ascomycota; Pichiomycetes; Serinales; Debaryomycetaceae
Description: partial 28S ribosomal RNA
Source: RNAcentral